Molecule: ribosomal RNA, 468 nt
Filed under: uncultured bacterium
Lineage: Bacteria
Description: partial 16S ribosomal RNA
Rfam family: Bacterial small subunit ribosomal RNA
Source: RNAcentral
GACGAACGCUGGCGGCGUGCUUAACACAUGCAAGUCGAACGGAAAGGCCCUGCUUUUGUGGGGUGCUCGAGUGGCGAACGGGUGAGUAACACGUGAGUAACCUGCCCUUGACUUUGGGAUAACUUCAGGAAACUGGGGCUAAUACCGGAUAGGAGCUCCUGCUGCAUGGUGGGGGUUGGAAAGUUUCGGCGGUUGGGGAUGGACUCGCGGCUUAUCAGCUUGUUGGUGGGGUAGUGGCUUACCAAGGCUUUGACGGGUAGCCGGCCUGAGAGGGUGACCGGCCACAUUGGGCCUGAGAUACGGACCAGACUCCAACGGGAGGCAGCAGUGGGGAAUAUGGCACAAUGGGCGGAAGCCUGAGGCAGAGACGCCGGGUUCGGGAUGACGGCCUGUUGGUUGUAAACCGCUUUCGCCUGUGACGAAGCGUUAGUGACGGUAAUGGGUAAAGAAGCACCGGCUAACUACGUG